Molecule: ribosomal RNA, 786 nt
Filed under: uncultured bacterium
Lineage: Bacteria
Description: bacterial SSU rRNA
Rfam family: Bacterial small subunit ribosomal RNA
Source: RNAcentral
AGAGUUUGAUCAUGGCUCAGAACGAACGCUGGCGGCGCGUUUUAAGCAUGCAAGUCGAACGGUAAUAGAGUGCUUGCACUCUAUGAGAGUGGCGAACGGGUGAGUAACACGUAGAUGAUCUAUCCUUGGAUCCGGGAUAGCCUGUGGAAACACAGGGUAAUACCGGAUACGACCUUAUCUGUAAAGGGAUAAGGGGAAAGUCGCUUCGGCGACGUCCGGGGCUGAGUCUGCGGCUCAUUAGCUUGUUGGUAGGGUAAUGGCCUACCAAGGCGACGAUGAGUAGCCGGCCUGAGAGGGCGAUCGGCCACACUGGGACUGAGACACGGCCCAGACUCCUACGGGAGGCAGCAGCUAAGAAUCUUCCGCAAUGGGGGCAACCCUGACGGAGCGACGCCGCGUGAAUGAAGAAGGCCGGAAGGUUGUAAAGUUCUUUUCCUGGGGGAGAAUAAUGAUUGGGAGGUAAUGCCAGUCAGAUGACGUGAACCAGGGAAUAAGCCCCGGCUAAUUACGUGCCAGCAGCCGCGGUAACACGUAAGGGGCAAGCGUUGUUCGGAUUUAUUGGGCGUAAAGGGCGUGUAGGCGGUUAAGUGUGUCUGGUGUGAAAGACUCCGGCUCAACCGGAGGACCGCGCUGGAAACUGCUUAACUAGAGUGAUGGAGGGGGAGCUGGAAUUCCUGGUGUAGGGGUGAAAUCUGUAGAGAUCAGGAAGAACACCGGAGGCGAAGGCGAGCUCCUGGCCAUAUACUGACGCUAGGCCCGAAAGCGUGGGGAGCAAACAGGAUUAGA